This 253-nucleotide ribosomal RNA is filed under the name uncultured bacterium. RNAcentral describes it as "partial 16S ribosomal RNA". It matches the Rfam family "Bacterial small subunit ribosomal RNA", at positions 524 to 776 of the family's 1533-position model. The record is from RNAcentral.
UACGUAGGGUGCGAGCGUUAAUCGGAAUUACUGGGCGUAAAGCGUGCGCAGGCGGCUAGCCGUGUCCGAUGUGAAAGCCCCGGGCUCAACCUGGGAAUGGCAUUGGAAACUGGCUGGCUGGAGUGUGGCAGAGGGGGGUGGAAUUCCACGUGUAGCAGUGAAAUGCGUAGAGAUGUGGAGGAACACCGAUGGCGAAGGCAGCCCCCUGGGCCAACACUGACGCUCAGGCACGAAAGCGUGGGGAGCAAACAGG